GGCUUAGGAUGAACGCUAGCGACAGGCCUAACACAUGCAAGUCGAGGGGCAGCACAAGGAGCAAUCUGAGGUGGCGACCGGCGCACGGGUGAGUAACACGUAUGCAACCUGCCUGUAAGCGGGGAAUAACCCGUUGAAAGACGGACUAAUACCGCAUAAUACUAAAUUACUGCAUGGUAAUUUAUUUAAACAUUUAUGGCUUACAGAUGGGCAUGCGCAUGAUUAGCUAGUUGGAGAGGUAACGGCUCCCCAAGGCAACGAUCAUUAGGGGUUCUGAGAGGAAGGUCCCCCACACUGGUACUGAGACACGGACCAGACUCCUACGGGAGGCAGCAGUGAGGAAUAUUGGUCAAUGGACGAGAGUCUGAACCAGCCAAGUCGCGUGCAGGAAGAAUGUCCCUAUGGAUUGUAAACUGCUUUUGCAGGGGAAUAAAGUGCAUCACGUGUGAUGUUUUGUAUGUACUCUGCGAAUAAGGAUCGGCUAACUCCGUGCCAGCCGCUGC
Molecule: ribosomal RNA, 503 nt
Filed under: uncultured bacterium
Lineage: Bacteria
Description: bacterial SSU rRNA
Rfam family: Bacterial small subunit ribosomal RNA
Source: RNAcentral